GUUUAAGGAGGACAGUGGCAAAAAUAUGAUUUUACUGUUACAAGAGGACCUGAGCUAGUCCAUGUAGAACAAGCCGUCAGUCAACCAGGAGCAUUUCAGCAUUCCAGACUCGAGGGCACUGUGGCCUGGAUGGGGUGGGCACAGUGGAGAUGGAGAGGUCAUGUAAGAUUUUGUGGUGAGCCCAUGAUGGAUGGGGGAAUGCUAGAUAUUGAUUCAUUUUAUGGUACUGGAUUACUAUAACUGAUGCCAUCUGUGCAUUGAGGAAUUAUGGUAUUAGUAUAAACCUUAAUAGGUUGAUAAAUUUUCUGAAAGUACGAACUAGAUUUUACCUUCAGUGUUCUUUCUAAAGCGUAAGCUCAAGACCAGGGGGACCAGAUUAUCUUCUCUUUCUCCCUUUCCCUCACUUAGCAGAGUUCCAGACACACAGUAGCCACUCAUGUACAUUUCAUGCAAUGAACAAAUAGCCCCAAAUGGCAGAAGGUGUGAGUCACUACAAGCUUCCCUUUUUAUUUGAUUUUUAAAUAAACAUUGUCUUUAUUGGCAAUUUCUUCAUUACUCCAACAAAUAUUUCUGGAGUGCCUGUUAGGUAUGAGAAUAUGCUGCUGCUCGGGAAGCAUGACGUUGGAACAGGGGGUGCACGGAACAAACACAGACCCUGACUCCAUAGAGUCUGCAGACUCCUGCACAGGAGAAAAAGUCAGGAGCCCCUGGGAGCAUCUCCUUAGGAAUGAGGGAGGGAGAUGGUCCCUGCCCCUGGUUAAGGAAGCAGUGCAAGCCACCAGGGUAAUUUUUCUAGCACUGGAUACUGGUCUAGGUUCUAUACUUGUCUCUGGAUGAAAUCCUUCCAGUCCUUUUUCAACUGAGGAAGCAGAAGUUCAGGGAGCUUAGGUUUCCUUCCCCAAAGUCACACAGCCAAUGGGUGAUGAAGCUGGGGCUCAAAUUCAGACUAACUCCUGUGCCCUUUGGUCUUCUCUCUGUCUGCAACACCCACUGUCCUUUACGUCAUCCUUGGAAAGGUUAAGAUCAUUUCAAAUCUGCCACCCUGAGCCUAGAGAAUAUUUCCUUACAUGCAUAUGUGAGUAUAUAUCUGGGUGCAUUCACACGUGUGUAGAGGUGUGUGUGUGUGUGUGUGUGUGUGUGUAGAUGAAGGAGAAAGAGGGAAGAAGGAAAGUGGUUUUAUUAUAGCCUCGCCGGUCAGGUAACUCAGAGCAACCCUUAGUUACUGGCGGCAGCCUCCUCAAACAGAGCCAGAUCCCCCCCCUAGUGGUAGUUUCGGGGAGGCUCAGGGAGGACUCUCCUCGAAGAUUCAUAAGGCAUGCGAGACCAUCAGUCAAGAUAGUCUACAAAUGUCAGUUAGAAAAGAUUUAUAAUCAGCAGAGAGCUUGAUAAACCAGCUUUUACUGCAGCACCAUUGUGCUAAGAACACCGUCCCUUCCAAGGGCAGAGGGCAGAAUGCUGUUUCCAUCCGUCUGUACAAAUACUUGUGAAUCCCUUCACCUUAAUACAUGGACAGUAGACUAAGAGAAGCCCUGAGUAAUUUAUGUAUAGAACCACCUCCCUUCAUAAGUAAAUGGAAUAGAUCUAAUAUUCUGAGCUCCAUGGGAAGAGGGCGUAUAAAAUCCCUUUCGAGUAUAUGUUUUAUAAAAUAUAGGUCAUGAAUUGAGUUUUCCCGUAUCAAAGAAAAAAAUUUUAAUAGACUCACAGCUUUCUAGCUGUAAUUAUGGCUGCAUCUUUUUUUCAAGCCAAGCAUAGUACCCAAAGCUAUUUUAUUAUUCAGAAGACUGGCUCUUUUCAAAGAUUGCUCACAAGUUUGGUUUGGGGGAUUUUCAGUGUUUUCUUCUUGUUCCGGAUUUCUGCUUGUGUUCAGCACGUCGCAGUUUGUAUCCGCUGUGUUUGUGGUUGGGAGGGGUUGCUAACCCAGAGACCGUCUCGGUGGGGAGGACAGGGCAGGGCUCCUGACUCUGUGGUUGGCCUCUGUGUCUUUGAGAAAGGUCUCUAUCCAGAUUGAUGGAGGGUCUGUCCCCUGGGCCGUCAAAGCUAGACUCAAUGAGCUGCUGGCCAUCUGUCCCUCUGCGUUUCUUCCCACUUCUGUGAUCUCGCCCCCUCUCCUGCUAAGGAGAUUCUGUGCACGUCGGCUCACACUAGGGUUCUCAGCCAGGGUUAGAGGUGAGGACUUGCACAGUAACUUACAUACAGGAAAUUAAGUUAACUAGGUGUUUCCUGUGUGUGAUGCACCAUUCAAGAAUGGCUGGUUGGAUUUCUACCGGUUUGGGAAAGUGCCUUUGACAUGUUUUAACUUGAAAUGUCGACCCAUCCACUUAAAAGAGAUAAUCCAAGAGACCUAGGCUAUUGCUGAGGCACGUCAUGUGGAUUCAGACACUACAGAGCAGUGAUUCACCUGCAGACGACUUACCUUCUUCCCAGCCCCCAGACACUUUGGGUCACCCCACUAAGGGAGGGGAGAGCGCCACUGGCAUCUAGUGGGUAGAGGCCAGGGAUGUAGCACACAGGACAAGCCCCCAAUGAAGGAUUAUUGGGCUCAAGAGUUCGGCACUCCCAAGGUUAAGAAAACCCGCCCAGAGGAGGAAAUGAAGAGUUUGGGCUGUGCAUUGCACAUCCGGAAUCUGGAGGAGCAUGGACAUUGGCUAGUGCCUCUCUGUGGCGAGUCUCAGGGUGAGCUCCGGCCAGCCUGUUCCUCUGAGGACGGUCAGAGGAAGCAUGUAGCUGCGGGUAGCGGUGAGCACUGCGUGAACGGGAGCUGGGACGAGGCCCUAUGCCAAGGGAUUCCUGCGCAUGGUCUCCCUGACUCACCAUAGGUAUCCUACACACAGACACGUGAUCAUCUCCGUGUUUCCAGGGAGGACACUGAAGCUUAGGGAGGUUAGAAAACAAUUUUCCCAGGCGAGCGGAGCCCUCUCCCUCAAUACCCAUUCUUCUCUCCAUUAGUAACGAACCCCAACAUACGACAGCGUCAUUGUGUCCGCGUGAAAACCAUAUUGCGGCUAGGUGUGGCCGUGUGGUAGAGUCCCAGCCAGCGAGCUACAAGCACGGCAUUUUGUCACGUUCCCGGGAUGAGUUGGGGGCCACGGGAGCUGGGAAGGUUGCCCGUUUGUCCUGGCCGGAAUGAGGUCUUGGGGGCUAGACCUCAGGCAGGCGCUGUGUUUCAUAAGGUGGCUUUGAGGGUGGAAACUGUGUCCUAAGAAGGUGGCGAAAGCCAGACAGGGACGGGAUUCUGUUGCCCGUGGAAUGUUACACCAGCCCCGGACUGCCUCUCUCCAGAAGUGUCUUACAUGAGACAGUAAUGAACUUCUGUCUCAUUGAGCUCACUGUUAUGUUGGCUCCUCUGUGCUCCUCACCAAAUCUAAUAACAGCUGACAUACCCAGCGUCAGUCCACGAGUAAGAAUUACAGCCAAGACAAUUGGACUCCGAGUCAUGCUUUUCAACUGCUGUGCUGCCCGAGACAUUCAAACCCUGUGUUUCAUACCACCUGCCUCUGUAUGGUAGUCAGAAAAUUGAGCCUUUAUUGGAGCAAAAAUUGUCUUUGUCUCCUCCAUUAUCUUAGAGUUCUUUCCAGAAAGCAUUCUGAGGUCUCUGUCCUUAGGUAUUCUUUAUUAGAUUAAAAACAUACCCAGUGCCCCAUGAUGGAAACUUCCUUAGCACAGCGGUUUUCAUUUUCUCGUCACAGUCAUUUCAGAUCGGAGUCCAGCCCCAAUUGUCCGAAAAUGCUCCAAUAAUGUGCAUCAUCGUGUGGCUGCCAUUUACAUCAGGAUCCACAUCCCAAGGACUAGGGAGGAAGGGGAAAGAUACAGGGAAUGUUAAGAGGGCUCUAGAAGGUUUUCACAGAAUAUUAAUUUUUGGGCUUGUCAGGGCGUCAACUGGAAAUGCAUCUUCAGGAUGUGCCUCUCAGUUCAUUGGGGAGAUCGAUAUGUUCUAACAAGAGUGCAGCCCAGGGGUCGAGACCACUGGCUCCCGUGUCCAAAAGGUCUGGUUUUCAGUUAUGUUUCCACUGCUAAUUGAGAGCCCUUGAACACGGCGUCUUGCCUCUCUGAGCUUUGCAUAACUCCUCUGCAGAAGGGGGAUAAUGGUAAUGCCCCCAAAGGGUGGCAGAUAUCAAGCCUGGAGCACCACGCCGAACAAAAUAAAUACUACAUGUGCCAUAAACAUUAGCUGCUGCCAGACGCCUUUUCCCCCCAGUGGCAGGGCACAGUGCCGCUGCUAGCAUCUUGCAAGGAAAGGAAGAAGUCUGCCCUCCAGCAAAGCUGGGUUCCAAUCCUGGCCCUUCCUCUUAUCAGCUGUGCGAAUUCGAGCAUCUCUUCCUUCAUUUUGCGUUGGUGAUAGUCCACAGUGGCAGCAUUCUGUAUGAGUUGGAAUUAGGCAGAUUUGAAAUGAUGCAAUAUGGGAAAUAUUUGUAAAGUCUCACUUGGGCACAUGUCUGGAAACAUUUCUGUCAUCCUCCAAGGAAGCCCUGUAUUUAUCAGGACUCAUUCCCCACUUUCUCCCCAAAUUGCCCAGUCCCAGGAGACCACGGGUCUACCCGUUGGCACUUUUGAUUUGCCCGUUCUGGGCAUUUCACAUAAAUGGGAUCCCACAGGAGGUGGUAUGUUGUGACUGGUUUCUUUCCCACGGCUCCAUGUUUCUAUGAUGCUGGAUCGAAUGCAACACGGGUCAGUAUUUCGUUUCUUCUUGUUGCCAAAGACAGGGUUCGCUCCUUAUAUCUGCCUUGGCCACACUCGGUGCUGCCUCAGCUGGUAAAGAGGAAGACAUAACAUUCUUUGUCAAGAGUACUCUUGAAUUAUGCACAUUUUCAAUUAUUUGACAUAGUCAAGAACAUGGCCCUUACAUAAAGUAUACCUGAGCUCUACUUACAAGAAUUAAAUGAGACAAUAUAUGGAAGUUCUUGGUAGCAAGGCCCAAUACAUGGUGGCCCCUCAGGAAAUAGUCCCUCCCUGUGUUGGGUGGGUUGUCUUAUAACACACCUCCUUGUCAUCCACUUUACUGUUUGUCACCCUAAGGAAUCCCCGUCAGUAACGAUUCCAACUGAUUAAGUAGAAGAAUUAUGUCUCAGUGUUUCCUAAGGAGUUUGCUCACCAGGUAUCCCAAAAAUGUCUUUUGGAAAAAAAAAAAAUCCAAUCUGCACUAUUUUGUCAAGUUUCUGGAAACCUACCAAAGGUUCAAGUUAGAUAUUCCCUCGUAAAUUUCCACCGGUAUCCAUAUAUUCAUAAAGUAUAUCUGAGACCUUUACUUUCAUCAACCCAAGUAUAUUCCCAUUUUAACAGCGUCACUGUUGGGUGUAUGAGCUUUAAUGAAAGACAGCCUUUGAAAAAGACCAUCGUAGGGUCUUUCUGACUUACUUCAGCAAGGUUUAGAAGUAAAAGACACUUAUUCAUCCUCAAUCCUUUCCCCUUGACCUGGGCUGUUAGGCACCACAUCAAGCAGACAUCUCCGCUACUCCAACAAGCCAUCACAGCUUGCCUCGUAGGUGACAGACAUCAGAAUGGGUACUUCUGGAUGCGUCUAUUUCUUCUUCUCAGUGAUGCCGAUUAUCAUCAUGUCCGUGUUUCAGAUGAGGAAGCAUAAGCUCAGAGAGGUUGACAACACAUACUCAGAGGAGAAACUGGGAGUCUGGAUCUUUCUGAUCUCAAAGCUCAUCUUCCUCUAAAGAGGCUGAGUGUCCUUUGUCUUGGUAUGAGUUAAUUACUUCUUAGUAGUCCUGCUUAUCCUCCACAGAAAGACUUUUUUUUUUUUUUUACCCUGAUUCAGUGGUCUCUGAAACAGCAUUCAGGGCUGUUUCCUGGCCAAGGCUUUGCAUCUCAAUUCGAAAUGUUUAUUUUAUUGCUUAUUUUAUUUGCAUCUCCAUUCAAAAUGUUUAACAGGCAAACAAUGAAAAGUGCAGUGUGGCUUCAGCUUAAGAGUUUGCAAUCUGAGGAGCAAGUCUAGGUCAUGGCUGUCCAUGGGGAUGACACCUUAUAGCAUGAGACAGUCCAGCCGUGCCUGGUCCUAAUUACAAGUUAAGGAGUAAGGUCAAGUUACAUCACAAAAGGGCAAACACCCCAUCCGAGAGAAAAAUUAUUCUAGAGUUAGAAAAACCGUAACCAGGGAUCUAGGGAUGAAAUUCAUCUUGCAAUGUAUCAGCAAGGAAUGCUUUCUGCUGCAGGUAACAAAAAGGCAAUUAAUGUGGCUUAAACAUCUCAGGUUGAUUUUUCUCACAUUUCCAGAAGCUGAGAGGUGGGUGGCCGCUUCUGUCGCUUCACCGAUUUGAUAGCAUCUCUGUGAGUCUCUGACCUUUCUCUUGUGGCUGUGAGACUUGUCACAGCUCUAAAAUCACAGCUAUGUCUAAAGGAAGAAGAAAAAGGGGGCAGGAGACAUGUCUCUCCCUUUUCAUUAGAGAUGCAAAGUCUUUACCAGAAUAGUCUUUUCUUAACAACUCCCCAGAGCAGAACUCUGGCAAUCAUGUGAUUACCCCUGGCUGCAAGAAAAGCCAUGUGUAAACCAAUAUUUCCAUAUGUGUAUGUGCACAUGUAUACGUGUGUGUAUGCACGCAUGUGUGUUCAUCAACAGGGUGGGCUAGGGAGGAGAAAAUUGGGAAUAGAUCUGGGAUUAGCCAUGACUGGUCCCCAUGUGGCCCCCAAAGGUUAAGAGAUGUACCCAACUUUUAGAAGGUUAAAAUGCAGGAGAAACCAGCAUUUUCCAUGAUUUUAUUGUGAGUUUGAGAGUGAGCUGGGGGGCAUCACCGAAAGGAUUUCUUGGCUAAAUAAAGGAAAAAAAAAAACAAAAUCAGACUGGUUUCUUUACUGUUCAAGUUCUCAGAGACUUUAAGCUGUGAAUGGCCUCGUCAGUCUCCAAGAAGAGGCAGUCCCCGAGAAUCUGUUCCGGGCAGGCUGUUCCGUGAACCUGGCAUGCAGGAUAUGGUAGGUAUGUUGGGAAGGUAGCUUUUAGCCAGUGAACGACUGGAUCACGAGGUACCUGAGCAGGCAUGCCUCCCCCCUCACAGCGGAGCAGUUGAGCCCCAGGUUGAAUAUAAGAUUGUCUGGGAACAAGACAGUGAAGGUCGGAGAAGGUUGUACAGUGCCAGGUAGAUUUUUGACCUUGGUGAGCAUCAAGUCCAGCCACGGAGGGAGGGGACUCGUGAAGAAGUUGGGCACAGGGACCCCACCAUCGAUACCUCUGGACUGCCUCCUUCCUCCUGCAUCCACCCAGAUCCCGCUAGUCUCCUUCACAAAGCUCAUCAAUACUCAAAGAAUAAAAACCUUGCUGAAGGAAUUUAACUGUUCCAUAAAUAUCAAGCCAGGAGUGUUGGGAGUUUCAAUUGUUUGGGGUUUCCCCUGUUCUCGUGAAGAUCAACCCUUUGACCAGGUCCUUGGUAGGAAAUUGACCAGCCAGGAGCCUGAAGGUGGACAUAAUAAGUCCAGAUGGAAAAUGACAGAUUUUGUGCCUGUGCCUCUUACCAAGGACUGUUAGUCACAACCGUUGCUGCGUUUUUACUCUCCAGGUAGUCUCUGCCCCACUCUCCUAUUGUCUGGUAGCUGCCCAGCUUCGCUGUAACUGUCACACACAGGAUAUGGAGCUGAGGGUUUCAUACACAUCACCUCAUUUCAGCCUUGCAUUAUCCCCGAAAACAGGUAAAAGAAUUCUCAUUUACAGAUAAAGACCUAGAAUGUAGUGGGCAGGGACCUUACUGGGAUCUCACAACUUGGCCUCUGUAUCUUCCUUAUACCACGUGAAUACAUCAGUAUAAAAAAGAGAGUCUAAAUGAAAAUUGCUAUGCAAGACAGAAAACGUGACUUUAAAUGCAUGAUGGCUUUUACCAUUAGGUCAGAGGAAAAACAGAGCCAGAACUUGAUUAGUCUAGGGACCAGUGAAAGGUGGGUGAUAAUUUUGGACUUUCUUUUAUAGACGUUUGUACUAGGGUUCUCCAGAGAAACAGAAUCAGUACUAUAGGUCUAUAUCUAUAGCUAAUAAGAAACUGGCUCCCACAGUUAUGGAGGCUGAAAAGUCCCAAGGACUGUAGUCAGCAAGCUGGAGACCCGGGAGAGCCGAUGCUGUAAUUCUAUCCCAAAUGCCAGGAGGCUUGAGAUCUAUUAAAAGUGAUGUUUCAGUUUGAAGGUGGGGAAAAACCAGUGUCCCAGCUCAAAGUAGUCAGGCAGGAGGAGUUCCUUUUUGCUCAGGUUUUCUGUUCUAUUCGGGUGUUCAAUUGAUCCGGUGAGGCCCCAAGACUUUGGGGAGGGCAAUCUGCUUUACUCCAUCUAUUAUUUCAAAUGUUAAUAUCGCCCAGAAAUACCCUAACAGACACACCCAGAACAAUAUUUGGCCAAAUGUCUGGGCACCUUGUGUCCCAGUCAAAUUGACACCUAAAAUAAACCACCACGAUACUGUAGGCAGAAUCUUGACCUUGACGCCAUGACCUCCAUCCUCUGGUCUUAGACUUGUGAUUAUGUUGCCUUACACAGCCAGAGAUUUUGCCAAUGCAAAUACAGUAAAACCAUGGUUUGCAAGCAUAAUUUGUUCCAGAAACAUGCUUGUAACUCAAAGCACUCGUAUAUCAAAGCAAAUUUCAAGAACCAUUGGCUCAGUUGUGAUCAUGUGACAUUUGGCAACACGUGCUACUCAUAUUACAAGACCUUGUUCGUUCAUCAAGUUAAAAUUUAUUAGAAGUGUUUGCUCGUCUUGUGGAACACUCGCAAAACAAGUUACUCGCAAUCCAAGGUUUACCGUAAAGUUAUGAAUCGACUGACGUUAAAAUAGGAAGACUAUCCUGGAUUCUCCAGGUGGAUCUAAAUAAUCACCUGAGCCCUUAAAAGUGGAAGAGGCAGGCAGAAGAGUGAGUAAGAGAAGCAGUAGAAGAGGGAAGUAGGAGAGAGGAGGCAGAGGUUGGUUCAGACAGUCCUAACUCCUGAGAAGGACUCCACCUGUCAUUGGCUUGAGGCUGGGGUGGGGCCACAUGGAAAGCGUGAGAAGGAAAUUCAUUCUGCUGACACCCUGACCGGGCUUGGAAAGGAUUUCCCCAGAGCCAGUAGUAAAGAAUACAGACCUGCUGCCAACCUUGAUUUCAGCCUUGUGACACCCAGGUGAGUCUCGCUGUGUCCAGACCUCUACCCCACGGUCGCGGUGAGGUCAUAAAUGGGUGUUCCUUGAAGCCGCUGCUUGGUGGUAAUUUGUUACAGCAGAAAUAGAAAAGGAACGCAGUAUCUGGUUUAUUCCCUUACAUGCCAGCCGCGAGCAAAGUUGCUUUUCCCAAGAACGAAAACAGAAAUGGCCAACCAAAUGACAGAACGAAGGAGAACCACUCGAGCUCGCAAACUGCUUUAACAACCGUCCCAAGUUCAACUCCAAAUGCAACUUCUCAUCUCCAAGUAUUCCCCACACCAACAUCGUUCUUAAAUGAAAACAGCAUCAGAAACAACCUUCAGGACAUGUUUAGCAACACAUCCGAGCGAAGCUUCUUUAAUUGUUAAUUCUUUUGAUAGUCACGUGACACCACUAAUUACAGCGAACUGUCCGCUGAGGAGGUCACGCUGACUGCAUCCAGGAGGUCCACGGACAGGUCCCCAGGCCCACUGGGCUUUCAGAAGCGACCUCGCCCCUUGCCACCGUUCACCUCCCUCUCCCAGAGCAGACAUCUUUCACAAGGUGCUGGAAUUCGAUGAGGACAAGACCCUGAAAGAAAACAUCAUCCCCGCAACUGGGUUAACCCACUAUCGUUAAUGCAGUUCAGCGAAACCUGAGGUGACUUAACAGCACAGCAGUCCCUGGGCUCGGCGUCAUGGCGCUUUUCAAGGUCUCCCUACAUGCUCUUCUGCAAGCAACUAAGAUCUAGUCUCUUAGCAACUUGGAAGUCUGGAAGACCGUGCUGUUGGCUGCCAUCACUAUGCUGUGCAUUAGAUCUCCAGAACUUACCUUCCAAAUGCAAGUUUGUACCCUUUGACCGGUACCUGCCCCCCGCCCCCACCCGCCAGCUCCUGGCAACCACCGUUCUACUCUCUGUCUCCGUGAGUUCAGCUUGUUUAGAUCCCAUAGAAAUAAGUAUGUGGAUCGUGUA
Long non-coding RNA from Neofelis nebulosa (Clouded leopard), 10037 nucleotides. RefSeq lists it as uncharacterized. Lineage: Eukaryota; Metazoa; Chordata; Mammalia; Carnivora; Felidae. The record is from RefSeq and is a predicted model, not a curated record. The transcript has 2 exons.